GGCUGCGGCCCGCGCCGUGCCCACCUUGUCGCUGCGCCCCAGCAAGCUUUCAAGGCCUCCCAUGCCCACGCCGGCACGCCAUUCUCCACACUGGACCUUCCACUGAGCCAUGCUCCUCCUCACAAGGCUGGCCAAACCCGGGUGCUGCUCUCCGACGACCUCCCCGCGUGUCGCCCAUGCUGCUCUCGGCUGGAACCGAUUCUUCCACACCGGCGACGCACACAAUGUGUUCGGUGCGAUGCCUGCACCGGACCACAGGCAGUGCAGUGAACUUCUCAGGACGCGCACCGCGAGCGGGGAUCACUACGGGUCCGUCUGCCUCGUCCGCGGGAUGCUCGGGCGGGGCCUCCGGCCCGACAGGCUCGCGCUCGCCGCGGCGAUCAAGUCGGCGUCGGCGCUCCCCGAUGGCGGCGCCCUGGGGAGGUGCCUCCACGGGUUUGUUGUCAGGCUCGGGAACGCCGCGGGCGUGGCGGUGGCGAAGGCGAUCAUGGACAUGUACGGGAGGCGUGGGGCUCUCACGGACGCCCGCCUAGUGUUUGAUGAAAUGGGCUGCCCUGACGCGGUAUGUUGGAACAUCCUGAUCACUGGGGCCUCCCGGGCUGGGUAUUUUGACGACGUAUUUGCCUUGUUCUGGUCGAUGCUUGCGUGUGGUGUAGAUGAGAGCAUGCCGACUGCGGUGACGGUGGCUGUCGUCAUUCCGGUAUGUGCAAAGUUGAGAGAUUUAACGGCUGGGAGGAGUGUCCAUGGCUAUGUCGUCAAGACUGGGUUGGAAUCUGAUACUUUGUGUGGGAAUGCAUUGGUAUCCAUGUAUGCAAAAUGUGGUGCAGGUGGAAUCACGGAUGAUGUGCAUAGAGCCUUUUCUUCAAUUCAUUGCAAGGAUGUUGUUUCAUGGAAUUCGAUCAUCGCAGGAUACUCCGAGAAUGGGUUGUUCGAAGAAGCACUCGUACUAUUUGGUCAGAUGAUCUCAGAGAAAUGUCUUCCGAAUUAUUCAACGGUAGCUAAUAUUCUUCCUGUAUGCUCGUUCAUGGAGUAUGGGAGUAACUAUGGCAAAGAAGUGCAUGGUUUCGUGUUCCGGUUUGGCUUAUAUAUGGACAUAUCUGUUUGUAAUGCGCUGAUAACUCAUUAUUCCAAGGUGUGUGAAAUGAGGGUUGUGGAAUCAAUAUUCAGAAGUAUGAAUUCAAGAGAUAUUGUUACAUGGAACACAAUAAUUGCUGGAUAUGUGAUGAACGGGUGCAACUCUAGGGUGUUAGGCCUGUUCCGUAGGCUUCUGUCUACAGGAAUGACCCCUGAUUCUGUUUCUUUCAUUAGUCUGCUCACUGCUUGUGCUCAAGUAGGUGAUGUCAAAGGAGGGAUGGCAGUUCAUGGUUAUAUUUAUCGGCAUCCAGUACUUUGUCAGGAAACAUCCUUAAUGAAUGCUCUUAUUAGUUUCUAUAACCAGUGUGACAGAUUUGAUGAUGCUCUUCAUUCUUUCGCUGAUAUUUUGGACAAGGAUUCAGUAUCAUGGAAUGCAAUUCUAUCGGGCUGUGCUAACAGAAAAGAACAUAUUGAGGAGUUCGCCAAACUCUUCUGUGAAAUGUGCCGCAAGGUAACUCGUUGUGACUCAGUCACAAUCUUGAAUUUUAUCCGCAUGAGUACCUUCUGUGGUGCUAAGAGGGUCCGGGAAGCUCAUGGAUAUACCUUGCGAGUUGGUUAUAUUGGGGAAAUAUCAGUUGCAAAUGCUAUUCUCGAUGCAUAUGCAAAGUGUGGUCAGCCGCAGGAUGCAGAUACACUUUUCAGAAACCUAGCCGGCCGGAACAUUGUAACAGGCAAUACUAUGAUUUCUUGCUACCUGAAAAAUAACAAUGUAGAGCAAGCUGAGAGAAUCUUCAACCAAAUGCCUGAGAAAGAUAGGACAACAUGGAAUCUCAUGAUCCAGUUGUAUGCACGCAAUAAUAUGUCUGAUCAAGCUUUCUGCCUGUUUCAUCAGUUGCAGUGUCCCGAUACUGUUGGCAUUACAAAUAUUCUCCUGGCUUGCAUCCAUUUGAGUUCGGUACAACUUGUGAAACAAUGCCAUGGCUACAUGCUCAGAGCAUCCCUAGAAGACAUCCAUCUUGAAGGAGCUCUUCUUGAUGCAUAUUCAAAGUGCGGGAAUAUAACCAAUGCAUACAACCUAUUUCGACUCGGCCCUAACAAAGACCUUGUCAUAUUCACUGCCAUGAUAGGAGGCUAUGCAAUGCAUGGAAUGGCAGAAGAGGCAGUGGAGCUGUUUUAUGAAAUGCUUACACUUGACAUUAAGCCAGACCAUGUAGCUCUAACUGCUCUGCUGUCAGCCUGCAGUCAUGCUGGGCUUGUUGAUGCAGGAAUCAAGGUUUUCAAGUGCGCCAGAGAUAUUUACAGAGUUGAACCGACAGCAGAGCACUACACAUGCAUGGUUGACCUUCUUGCCCGCAGCGGGCGUCUCCAAGACGCAUACAGUUUUGCGUUGGAUAUGCCCCCUCACAUGGCCAAUGCAAAUGUAUGGAGCUCUCUGCUAGGAGCAUGCAAGGUCCAUGGAGAGGUCAGAAUCGGCCAACUCGCAGCUGAUCACUUGUUCUCCAUGGAGGCCGGGGACAUAGGGAACUAUGUCAUUGUGUCAAACAUCUAUGCAGCUGAUGAGAAAUGGGACGGUGUGGAGCAUGUCAGGAAAUUGAUGAAGUCCAAGGAUAUGAAGAAACCUGCAGGAUGCAGCCAGGCACUUGUUUAUAGCCAGUGAUGUUAAGAACCAAAAUAGUUCUUUUAUCUACGACAUGGUUGGAAGUUUGUAUCAGCAAAUCAAAGAUACACAAGCUGGCAAAGAACAUUCAGUUACAAGUUUCAACGUUAGUGCAAUUGAUCUGGUCACAGGGUUACAGAAACUUGAAUUGGAGUUUUUCUUCUCAAACUUGUCUUUGCUAGCUCUUCCCAUCCAUGGUAUUUAUCUUUCUGAGAGUUGAGACAAAUAAGUAACAUGGCUCCGCGCCACAGCAUGCAUCUUGGAGUUGAAGCAAGCAGCAAAAUAUAUCAUGUGCCAUCUACAUUGGAACUCUCUUCGGCUUUCUACCAAGUACCAACCAAGGUUCACUACUCUUGAAGUCUUGGUGACAGUUGCCGAUCCACUGGCAUUAGGAAUUUCAGCAAUGUUAUCUUUUGGGGGAAAUCUGAUUGGAGGUCUGUUAACAGCGCCAGCGAGGCCGAUGAAACACCACAAGUAGCAGGAGUGAGGGUGAGAGCUCUCGUUCGGCUCGCUUGGUGUUGAUCGAAGAUAUCUUGGGUGGAAAUUGGUGGAUUUCUCGAUUGGUUGAAGGAAGUAAAACAAAGGGGACCCACUACCCAGCGUCCUUUCGGCGAGUGUUGGGGUCUUAUCUAUUUAAGCUAAAAUAAGGCCAUUCAAGAAGGCUGUCAACUGUAAACAUG
Molecule: RNA transcript, 3411 nt
Organism: Triticum dicoccoides
Lineage: Eukaryota; Viridiplantae; Streptophyta; Magnoliopsida; Poales; Poaceae
Gene name: smr (Small MutS Related) domain-containing protein
Exons: 4
Source: RefSeq, a predicted model, not a curated record